This 773-nucleotide ribosomal RNA is filed under the name uncultured Neocallimastigales. RNAcentral's name for it is "partial large subunit ribosomal RNA". It matches the Rfam family "Eukaryotic large subunit ribosomal RNA", at positions 18 to 644 of the family's 3401-position model. Lineage: Eukaryota; Fungi; Neocallimastigomycota; Neocallimastigomycetes; Neocallimastigales. The record is from RNAcentral.
UCAGACGAUGCGUCAUGCAUAUCAAUAAGCGGAGGAAAAGAAACUAACAAGGAUUCCCCUAGUAACGGCGAGUGAAGCGGGAAGAGCUCAAAUUUGAAAUCUUAAAGAGUUUCCCUUACGAAUUGUAGUUUAAAGAAGUGUUUUCUGUUGAGGUUUUGGUAAAAGUUCUUUGGAAUAGGACAUCAUAGAGGGUGAGAAUCCCGUAUUUGACCUUUACUUUCAACUCUGUGAUACACUUUCAAGGAGUCGGAUUGUUUGGGAAUGCAGUCCAAAAUGGGUGGUAAAUUUCAUCUAAAGCUAAAUAUUGGCGAGAGACCGAUAGCGAACAAGUACCGUGAGGGAAAGAUGAAAAGAACUUUGAAAAGAGAGUUAAACAGUACGUGAAAUUGUCAAAAGGGAAGCGUUUGACACCAGUGUUGUUUUUCUGAAAAUCAAUUAAAGAACUGUUUAUGCUAAGUUGUUUAGACUUUAUCAGCUAACUGUUUAGUUUUGAGCUUUUCUUUAAUGCACUUUUCAGUUAACAAGUCAACAUCAAUUUCUUUUGCUGUAAAAAAGCUUGAGGAAGGUGGCUUGAGAUUCGUCUUAAGUGUUUAUAGCCUCUUGCCUAUGCAGUCGGAGAGAUUGAGGUCUGCAGCGUAGAUCCUUCGGGGCUAAAUGCAUUUGUGCUAAGUUAUAGCAUUUUAUAGACAACUUGUUGACUAUGAUUUGUCUUGUAGCUUACUCGCUUAUGUUAUUUUACCUACGCUUAGGAUGUUGAAUCUGUGCGAGACUAC